Long non-coding RNA from Myotis myotis, 740 nucleotides. RefSeq lists it as uncharacterized. Lineage: Eukaryota; Metazoa; Chordata; Mammalia; Chiroptera; Vespertilionidae. The transcript has 3 exons. The record is from RefSeq and is a predicted model, not a curated record.
GAGUCUUCAUCUGCAUGAGGACAGACCAAUCAGGUGGGCCUAGGCCUGGGGCUGUGAAGACAGCGCUACUGGACUGGACCACAGCAGAGCAGAGCUGUCUAGCUGGAGAGGGACCAGGACCCGGGAUUUCUCUGUAUAUACUAAGUCCCAAGGUGAGAUCUGGCCACGCCUGUCACUCCUGCCUCUGCCAGCACCGCCCUUCCCACUGCCUCCAGCCUCCAGGCCUGAGGUUGCUGUGUGUGAACUAGUAUCCACCAGAUGCCCACUUACUCCUCUCGUGUGGCUGUGUGUCUAGGAGCCUGCAGGCAGUGCCUCGUCUCUGUGGCCCUGGUCCACAUGAUGGUGUGGUCCUCCCAGAGCACAUCUCAUGAGGAGGCAAGAACCCAAGAAGACAUUAACCUCAACAGGAGGCGAGAAUGGGAGGAGGAUGUCAGCAGGCUACUUUCUUGGGAGGAAAUCCGAGUCGAUGCCUGAGGGCCUCUAUUUUUGUUGUGUGGUUGUUGCGUACUGCAGUAGGGGGAGUUGCCUAGUUUUUAAGAACUUGAGUGUUGUGGUCCGAGAUGUCUGGGUUCAAGCCCUGGCUCUGCCAUUUACUGCUGUGAGACCUUGGGCAAGCUCCUGACACUCUCUAAGCCUCAGUUUCCCCAUAUAUAGAUCGGGAUAAUAACUGUAUCUACAACGCAGAACUGUUGAGAGUCUUACAUGUAAUAUCUCUAAUAAACUAGGCAGAUGGUAAGCCA